GGGGCUGCCGCUGGCACUUCUGAUACACUGAGCUGGGGAGUGGCAUGUCACAAGCAGCCUUGUGGAGGGGCUCAUGUGAUGCGGAGCUGAGGCCUCCUGCCCAGAGCCCCAUGAGCAGUGGCAGGAUCCCGCACCCCGGACAGGCAGCCCCUGAGAUCCUGAGCCAGACCACCUAGCUACACCACUCCCAGGCUCCUAGCCCUCAGACACUGCGUGACAAAGAGGAGAGCGAGGCCAUCAGAGGCUGCAGAGUCCCCAGGACAGUGGCUGAGUGCAGCCAGCAGACCUUGGGCCACCAGGAGGGAGAGAGCUCCAGGCCCUGCCCUCAGGGAGCUCACCAUUCGGAGAUGUGGCUGAUGUCUCGGCACCCAAACAUCCCUUCAUUCAACAAAGAUUUAUUGAGCACCUGCUAUGCACCAAGCACUGUUCUUGGCACUGGGUGUACAUCAGUGACCAAGACAGAAAUCCCUGCCCUUGUGGGGCAGACACUCAAGGGGAGAGGACACAAUAAAUACAUAAACAAACAUAAAUGGAGGUGGUGAUGAG
Molecule: long non-coding RNA, 546 nt
Filed under: Homo sapiens (human)
Lineage: Eukaryota; Metazoa; Chordata; Mammalia; Primates; Hominidae
Description: HSALNT0051191
Source: RNAcentral